Perca fluviatilis (European perch) is the source of this 685-nucleotide long non-coding RNA. RefSeq lists it as uncharacterized. The transcript is spliced from 4 exons. The record is from RefSeq and is a predicted model, not a curated record. Lineage: Eukaryota; Metazoa; Chordata; Actinopteri; Perciformes; Percidae.
AUGUUAUUUUAUAUCAAAAAGAUAAAUAAUGGUAACUGUUUUAUAUUUCUAUUUUACGCGAAAACGACCCCCAGGUGACCCCUUGAACUGAUUGGUUGCGUUGGAGUAGGAGAGCUCAAUGAGCGAUGUUUGGUUGUAUUAGCUUAGCGUUAGCUCAUAUGCUAAAGACUGACGUUUCACUUGUCAAACCAGGGCUGCAAUGUGUCUAAAUGGAGGAAUGCAUCCCUUAAAAAGGAACCAGGGUGGAAGAACCAAUAAAGGACUGGACGCCGUGUCAAAAACAGACGGAUUUAUAUCCAUAAGGAUAAUUGCGCUUGACUACAAUUAUUGAUAAAGAAAGUUCUGGAAAAAGCCUGGAACGCUGACGGUGAAAAGAAAGCUCGCACUGCAAGCUGGAAAAUGAAAAUGUCACACCAAAGUGAAACAUCGCCUUGAGUGCUGCUAGGCUGGGAGUCCAAGUGCAAACGCCCCCAGAAUGCAAGGACAUAAAUCUUCCCAUGGAGCCAGUGUGUGAUGACUCUUGCCAACAAAAGAAGCGGGUCCUGAGGAGCGAGAGGCAUGCAGAGACUCGACACGGGAGAAUCCACAGGAUGUCGACCUCCAGCCCGAAUCACCUCCGCUGUUAUUUGAAGACCUCUAAUCAGUGAGCGCAGGCUGGUGUUACCGUUCCAGGAAAUCAGUCCAG